UGUGUUAGAGAGCAUAAGAAAUAUCAAUGCGAUGAGUUAAGUGUCAAUUUCUUUUCUUCCCCAGGGUUGCAGAAAACAGAAACCAACUCCAGCUAGCUCCCAUGAAAGGAAUUUAUUGAUAGGACACCCGGGUCCUGACAUCUAAGAGUUAAAAUAACCAGUCUUUGGAUGAGCCAGAGCCAGGCAACUCCAGGGCCCUCAGAAAAGGACAAUUAUGGACUUCUCUAGAACACUGACAUUCAUAUUUCUCAUUUUAGUGACCUGUAGUGUCAGAUGAAUGAGCUCUGGCCAGGAAGGUAGGGUCCAUGAUUGCUAGAGGACCCUUGUCUGUAUCAGGGGCAAUUCCCAAGGCAAGGGGAAUAUUAGGAGCUAGUAAAUUUUUAAGGCUUUAAUGAGGUGUAAUUGUCAUAUAAUAAACUAUACCUAUUUAGAAUGUACAAAUGGAUGUAUUUUCAUAUAUACACAAAAUUAUAUACAAUUAUAUUUAUGUUAUAUAUUAUAUCUAUUUAUCAGGAAAACUAUAACUGUGAUGAAAAUAAUGAAUAUAUCCAUCAUCCUUGAAAGUUUCUUUGUGCUCCUCUGUAUUCCCCCUCUCCUACCUCUCUGUGCUCCUCUACCUGUUCCCAGCCAAUCACUGAUCUGCUUCUGUCGCUAUAGAUUAAUUUGCAUUUUCCAGAAUUGUGUAUAAAUGGGAUCAUAUAAUAUGUGCUCCUUCUUGUCUGUUUUUUUUCACUUGGUAUAAUUAUUUUGAGAUUCACCUAUGUUGUAGCUUGCAUCAGUGCUUCAUUCUUUUUCAAGGCAUGUAAUAUUCCAUUGUAUGGAUAUACCACAGUUUGUUUAUCCAUUCACUUCUUCAUGGGCAUUUAUGUUGCUUCUGGUUUGGAGCUCUUACCAAUAAACUUGCUAUGAAAAUUCAGGCACAAGUCUUUGCUUAGGUAUGUGUUUUCACUUUUCUUGGGUAAAAACCUAGGACUAGAAUGGCUGGGUCAUAUUCUAAGUGUAUAUUUAAUUUUUUCAGAAUCUGCCAAGCAGUUUUCCAAAGUGGUUGUUGCAUGUGUUACAUUCCCACCAGCAAUGUAGGAGAGUUCCAGCAGUUCCAUAUCCUCACCUCCACUUGCUUCGUCUAGGUGCCUCUGAGAGAAGUACUCAAAGUAUGGGGAUGCCCACCAAAGCUUCUUUGGUCCAAUGAAGACAGAGGAGGCUGACAAAUUUUAAUUUCUGGCUUUGUCCUACAAGGGACCACAGUAAUACUGUCAAGAAGAUCCCUGGGAAGGCUAGAAUUUAUAUGCUGUGUGUGCACUUUAAGAGCUCCUGGUGGAUGGUGCAAAGGACAAGAUAAAAAUAAAGAAGGGAAGAUAAUGAGCAAACUCCUCUUUGUUGGCAAAAAUCUUUGUUUUUCUGCCUCCAAAGUUUUCUGUAACGUUUCCAUUGACCUAGAAGCUAUUGUGCUUUCUGGUGAGUUUCUGUGAAGGCCCUACUCUAUGGGGAGAAAGGCCAACAAAAGAGCAAUUCCUGAUGCAUGGGAUGGAAUUGUCUCUUCUAUAGAAUCAAGUUGUAAAAUGAAUCUGGACAUUUGUCUGGGGGUGUCUUAACACUGGAAGCAGCUUUACGCAAGUAAGAAAGAAAUGGAACUAGUGAUCAAAGUGUAUUGAUAUUUUUAGGAUCUUGGUACAUAUUGCCAGUGUGAACCCAAGAGAGGUCACAGUAGUUAAUACACACACUCGCUGGGUCGGAGCACUCAGCAACAUUAUUACUACCUUUUACAUCUUUACUAAUGUGGUAGACUGAAAAAGACGUUGAGCCCGAUUCAAAAGUCUGCUUACUGUAUGGUUCUAUUUAUGUGAUAUACUGGAGAAGGAAAAGCUAUUGGGGGAAAAAUGUUGGAUCAGGGUUUGGGUGUGAGAAGGAUCGUGACAGGAGAGAGAUCGGAGGGAAUUUCUUGGGGGUAAUGGAAAUGUUCCGUAUCUCGAUUUUGCUGGUGUUUUCAUGACUAUAUGUAUUUGUCAAGACUCACUGAACUAUACACUUGAAAAGGGUGAAUUUUGCUGUACAUAAAUUAUACGUCAAUAAACCUGACUUUUAAAAAAUGACAUUGCCUUGUGGUUUU
Molecule: long non-coding RNA, 2107 nt
Organism: Panthera uncia (snow leopard)
Lineage: Eukaryota; Metazoa; Chordata; Mammalia; Carnivora; Felidae
Exons: 4
Source: RefSeq, a predicted model, not a curated record